This 1377-nucleotide long non-coding RNA is filed under the name Trifolium pratense (red clover). RNAcentral's name for it is "long non-coding RNA (TPRA_LNC003491)". The record is from RNAcentral. Lineage: Eukaryota; Viridiplantae; Streptophyta; Magnoliopsida; Fabales; Fabaceae.
UCGUUAACAAAAGAUUAUAAUAUUAGUUGGAGGUGACUUACUAAUUUCAAACUCAUAAUUAUUAGCCAAAACCUUCUUAGCUAGCUAAUUCUUCUAUAAAAACCGUUUGAGUCUCUUCUUUCAUCUCCACACACACCCAACAUAUAUAGCAUCCAGGUUAUUUGGUGAGCACCUUUUUUUUUUUAAGCAUAUUUGGUGAGUACCUUAAAGCAAAAUAUUGUGGUAAUUUAUUUUGGACAUAUACAUGUUCUAUAUUAUUUAAGUUCAUAUAGAUUGAUAUGUGUCAUUUUUCCUUCUACUCACUCUUUCAUAUUUUUAAGUCAAAGUUUGGAUUGAUAUGUUUUGGUUUAUGCGAUAUUAUAAGUUGAAAUCUGCUUAUGCAUCUUAGUUUUCUUAGUUCCUUUCUUAUUUAUAGCUUCUAUAUAAAAUUAAAGUCAUUUUAAACAAUCUAUGAGAAGUUGAAAGAAAAACAAAAAACUUUGACGGGAUCAAAUAUUUGACACCACGGUGUCAAUUUUUAUUUUUCCAAAUAGAUAAGGUUAAUAAAUGGGAUGGAAUCUCGACCCAUGCUUAUAUAAUGUAAUGUCCUUAUCAACUGAGUUAAACUCAUGGAGAUUUGAUAUUAUGAUAUCCUUGAUAAAUCUUUACCGCAUAUUCGUAUGAUAUCCACGUUGUCAAAAUCUUAUGAUAAAAAAAUAAUUUUUGUGAUGGCUAAUAAAUUCAAAUACAAAUUGAUUUUGAUAUUACACCAGUAUUCGACCCACUGAACUGCCUAAUAUGGUUCAGGGUCAGUUCUUGUAUCAAGUUGUUUAAGCUCCCUCCCGAUCGCAGUUGUGGGGAUCGAACCGUUGUCCUCCCUACCAAGUCCAACGUCAAUCACCACUAGACCAACUAAUGAUAUUUUUAAUUAUAAACAAAUGAAUCUUUACACUUUUUUUUUUGACAAAGAUCUUUACUUUUUCUUUUGUUGAUAAAUUAAGAAUGGAACAUUAUCAUAUACAUAGCUCGUGUCUUUGCAUGGAGAUACUACAAGUUCAUCUCUCUAAUUAACAUUUUGUUAAUUUCUUUGCAAAUCCAGAUACUAAAUUAACUAGAGGCAAGAGGUGGAAAAGUUGUAUAUUUGUCCAAAAUGAGGCUUAUGGUAAUUGCACUUGUGAUUGUGCUGCUAGCAAGCUCUUGUAAUGCAAAUGAUAAAAGAAAUUUAGUGUCCACAAUUUCUGAAAACCAGCAAGGCAUGAAAGGAGAUCACAAAGUCAUUAACCAGAAUAUUCAUCACCGGAUCCCGAUCCCUCAAAAGAGCUUCGACAAACCCGAUGGAUCUAGCCAGUUUGGUGUCACUGACGAUAACGAUCAUCAUUACAUCCCUCGUAAGGAUUA